Molecule: ribosomal RNA, 212 nt
Filed under: uncultured bacterium
Lineage: Bacteria
Description: partial 16S ribosomal RNA
Rfam family: Bacterial small subunit ribosomal RNA
Source: RNAcentral
CAGUUCGGAUUGUAGUCUGCAACUCGAGUACAUGAAGCUGGAAUCGCUAGUAAUCGCAAAUCAGAAUGUUGCGGUGAAUACGUUCCCGGGCCUUGUACACACCGCCCGUCACACCAUGGGAGUUGGAAGCACCCGAAGUCGAUGACCUAACCGCGAGGGAGGAGUCGCCGAAGGCGAAGCCAGUGACUGGGGUGAAGUCGUAACAAGGUACC